Molecule: ribosomal RNA, 457 nt
Filed under: Streptococcus mitis
Lineage: Bacteria; Bacillati; Bacillota; Bacilli; Lactobacillales; Streptococcaceae
Description: bacterial SSU rRNA
Rfam family: Bacterial small subunit ribosomal RNA
Source: RNAcentral
GACGAACGCUGGCGGCGUGCCUAAUACAUGCAAGUAGAACGCUGAAGGAGGAGCUUGCUUCUCUGGAUGAGUUGCGAACGGGUGAGUAACGCGUAGGUAACCUGCCUGGUAGCGGGGGAUAACUAUUGGAAACGAUAGCUAAUACCGCAUAAGAGUAGAUGUUGCAUGACAUUUGCUUAAAAGGUGCAAUUGCAUCACUACCAGAUGGACCUGCGUUGUAUUAGCUAGUUGGUGGGGUAACGGCUCACCAGGGCGACGAUACAUAGCCGACCUGAGAGGGUGAUCGGCCACACUGGGACUGAGACACGGCCCAGACUCCUACGGGAGGCAGCAGUAGGGAAUCUUCGGCAAUGGACGGAAGUCUGACCGAGCAACGCCGCGUGAGUGAAGAAGGUUUUCGGAUCGUAAAGCUCUGUUGUAAGAGAAGAACGAGUGUGAGAGUGGAAAGUUCACACUG